Molecule: ribosomal RNA, 896 nt
Filed under: uncultured bacterium
Lineage: Bacteria
Description: bacterial SSU rRNA
Rfam family: Bacterial small subunit ribosomal RNA
Source: RNAcentral
UGAUCCUGGCUCAGGAUGAACGCUGGCGGCGUGCCUAAUACAUGCAAGUCGAACGAAUCUCUUUUAGAGAUGAGUGGCGAACGGGUGAGUAAUACAUAGGUAACCUGCCCCUGUGCGGGGGAUAACAGGAGGAAACUCCUGCUAAUACCGCAUAGCCAUGAGCACCGCAUGGAGCUCAUGCCAAAUAUCCUUUAUGGGAUAGCGCAGGGAUGGACCUAUGGCGCAUUAGCUGGUUGGCGGGGCAACGGCCCACCAAGGCAACGAUGCGUAGCCGGCCUGAGAGGGCGGACGGCCACAUUGGGACUGAGACACGGCCCAGACUCCUACGGGAGGCAGCAGUAGGGAAUUUUCGGCAAUGGGGGAAACCCUGACCGAGCAACGCCGCGUGAGCGAAGAAGGCCUUCGGGUCGUAAAGCUCUGUUGUAAAGGAAGAACGGCGCAUACAGGAAAUGGUAUGCGAGUGACGGUACUUUACCAGAAAGCCACGGCUAACUACGUGCCAGCAGCCGCGGUAAUACGUAGGUGGCGAGCGUUAUCCGGAAUCAUUGGGCGUAAAGAGGGAGCAGGCGGCCGCAAGGGUCUGUGGUGAAAGACCGAAGCUAAACUUCGGUAAGCCAUGGAAACCGGGCGGCUAGAGUGCGGAAGAGGAUCGUGGAAUUCCAUGUGUAGCGGUGAAAUGCGUAGAUAUAUGGAGGAACACCAGUGGCGAAGGCGACGGUCUGGGCCGCAACUGACGCUCAUUCCCGAAAGCGUGGGGAGCAAAUAGGAUUAGAUACCCUAGUAGUCCACGCCGUAAACGAUGGUCACUAAGUGUCGGGGGUCAAACCCCGGUGCUGCAGUCAACGCAAUAAGUGACCAGCCUGAGUAGUACGUUCGCAAGAAUGAAACUCAAAGGA